CGGGGGAGGCCGGAUCCUGGGCUGUGUCCCGGCGCCCUGUGCUCCGGGGCCUGCGCUGUUGGAUUCGCGCUCCUGGAGCCGCGCAGCCCCCA
Canis lupus familiaris (dog) is the source of this 92-nucleotide non-coding RNA. Lineage: Eukaryota; Metazoa; Chordata; Mammalia; Carnivora; Canidae. The record is from Rfam.